This 260-nucleotide ribosomal RNA is filed under the name uncultured bacterium. RNAcentral's name for it is "partial 16S ribosomal RNA". It matches the Rfam family "Bacterial small subunit ribosomal RNA", at positions 524 to 785 of the family's 1533-position model. The record is from RNAcentral.
UACGUAGGGCGCAAGCGUUGUCCGGAAUUAUUGGGCGUAAAGAGCUUGUAGGCGGUUUGUCGCGUCUGCUGUGAAAAUCCGGGGCUCAACCCCGGACUUGCAGUGGGUACGGGCAGACUAGAGUGUGGUAGGGAGACUGGAAUUCCUGGUGUAGCGGUGAAAUGCGCAGAUAUCAGGAGGAACACCGAUGGCGAAGGCAGGUCUCUGGGCCACUACUGACGCUGAGAAGCGAAAGCAUGGGGAGCGAACAGGAUAGAUAC